This 336-nucleotide unclassified non-coding RNA is filed under the name soil metagenome. Its description in RNAcentral is "partial contains 5.8S ribosomal RNA, internal transcribed spacer 2, and large subunit ribosomal RNA". The stretch from base 1 to 120 matches the Rfam family "5.8S ribosomal RNA", at positions 35 to 154 of the family's 154-position model. The record is from RNAcentral.
GAUGAAGAACGUAGCGAAAUGCGAUAAGUAAUGUGAAUUGCAGAAUUCAGUGAAUCAUCGAAUCUUUGAACGCACAUUGCGCCCGCCAGUAUUCUGGCGGGCAUGCCUGUUCGAGCGUCAUUUCAACCAUCAAGCCCCGGGCUUGUGUUGGGGACCUGCGGCUGCCGCAGGCCCUGAAAAGCAGUGGCGGGCUCGCUGUCACACCGAGCGUAGUAGAUUUUAUCUCGCUCAGGGCGUGCUGCGGGUUCCGGCCGUUAAACCACCUUCAUAACCCAAGGUUGACCUCGGAUCAGGUAGGAAGACCCGCUGAACUUAAGCAUAUCAAUAAGCGGAGGA